Molecule: long non-coding RNA, 864 nt
Filed under: Ananas comosus (pineapple)
Lineage: Eukaryota; Viridiplantae; Streptophyta; Magnoliopsida; Poales; Bromeliaceae
Description: long non-coding RNA (ACOM_LNC024653)
Source: RNAcentral
CAACAUAGUACCGGAUUGAAAAAUAACUCAAAGAUGGUAAUUAAAUUAUUUGCUAUCUUUGAUACAAUUGAGAAGACGGUGAAUGAUUUACCGUCUUCUCAUUAUUUUUAAAGACAGUAAAUAAUCCACGUCUUUUUCUUAAAAUCCAUAUAAUUUUAACCGCCGGAUAAAAAUUCUAAUAAUUUUCAUAUAACCUUAACAACAUAAAAAUCCUCACAACUUAUUAAGAAAAGAUCAACAAUAACAAUAUGAAAACGGACCGUGAGGUCGGCAAAAGGAUAGUUAGUUGGCGAAAUAAAAUUUUGAAAAGAUUUUUUUUGGCAAAUUAAAAAUUUUUACAGAAUUAUUAUUAAACGAAAGAAAAGUCCGUCGAUGAACGUCGUACUUUGAAUAACGUGCCUGAAGUAGUUAAAAUCCUCCCCUCAAUCAUUGACAAAUUAGAAAUAACACUUUUUCCUCCACUUUGUCAUUAUAAGAAAGGACUAAAAUUGGAUCCACAAAAUCAUCUUCAUGUUGAAUAUCUAAUAUUAGGGACAAGUGCAUGGAUUCGAAUCAUACCAGGACAGAAAAUAACAAAAUCUAAAAUAUUUUUAAAUUAAACCGAUCAGAAAUAAUCAUAACUGACUAAAUAAUCGACUCAAAAUAGAGAAAGAAAUAUACAAACUUUUCAAAAGUAAUCUAAAAUUGCAAAUCUGGGGCCUAUAACAAUUACAUUUCAAUCCCAAGGGGUUAACUAGUAGAUCUCUAAAAGUUGUUUCCGAAUUAAAGUUGCACGUUGAAAACAGAUAGCCGAGCAAAAAGUUAUAGUCAUAUAAAAAAAAAUUUCGAACUGUUUGUAAAAUUUUCCGAACUUAAAUGAGAUUU